Molecule: ribosomal RNA, 484 nt
Filed under: uncultured bacterium
Lineage: Bacteria
Description: partial 16S ribosomal RNA
Rfam family: Bacterial small subunit ribosomal RNA
Source: RNAcentral
AUUGAACGCUGGCGGCAGGCCUAACACAUGCAAGUCGAGCGGAUGAAGGGAGCUUGCUCCUGGAUUCAGCGGCGGACGGGUGGGUAAUGCCUAGGAAUCUGCCUGGUAGUGGGGGAUAACGUCUGGAAAAGGGCGCUAAUACCGCAUACGUCCUGAGGGAGCAAGUGGGGGAUCUUCGGACCUCACGCUAUCAGAUGAGCCUAGGUCGGAUUAGCUAGUUGGUGGGGUAAAGGCCUACCAAGGCGACGAUCCGUAACUGGUCUGAGAGGAUGAUCAGUCACACUGGAACUGAGACACGGUCCAGAGUCCUACGGGAGGCAGCAGUGGGGAAUCUUCGACACUGGGCGCCAGCCUUGUCCAAUCACGCCGCGUGUGCGAAGCCGAUCUUCUGAUUGCCAUGAGCUUUUAGUUGGCAGGAACGGCCGUAAGUUAAUACCUCGCUGUUUUGACGUUACCGGCAGAAUGAGCACCGGCUAACUUCGUG